UGUAGGUCCACACCUGGGAUCCAAACCAGCAAACUCAGGGUCACCGAAGCGGAGUGCACAAACUGAACCACUGCACUGCUGGGGGGGCCCCUAUCUUUGGUUUCUACCAGUUUGACUAUUAUAUGCUUACACAUGGAUUCCUUUGCCCUCCCCAAGGUUCUCUGAGUUUCCUGAAUCUGUGGAUGAGGAAUGUAGUCUAGCAAUAGGCCUAUGACGAAAAGGAACAAGGGGCUGCACUGCUUUUAUGGUGAAAUGCGUUUGUUGGAAAAAAGCAGUGCUGUGUGGGAUAACAAGACAGGAAAUCAAGCCUGUGAGUUCUGUAAGUCCACAAAGGGGGAACCGGCAGAAGUAUGGUGGUGGGCAGGAAGGCAGAGCUAUCCCGAGACACGUUCCCAAAUAAAUUAGCAAGAUCUCACUUUUCUUUGGGCCUCUCUCCCCCAGGACCUGGCUUGGGAGUUCUCUCCCUGCCAUCCUGGGACCCAGGUCUCCUUGUGGGUCUGGAUGGAAGACGGGGUGAUGGGAGUGACUUUUGGUGAGUAGAAGCGUCUCCUUUAGGUCAUUACAGAGAUAUUUUGUUUAUUUUUAUUAUUAAAUUUUUGUUACAGAGAUGUUGAGCGGAGGAUCAUUUCCUCAAAGGCAGGAGUGAGGUAGAGGAUACUUCCACAGACAAAGGAGAUUUGAAGGAAUCAGCAGGAUUAGGGUGCUUACCCACCUCCAUCCAAAUGUGCCCCUGAGCAGACUUCAGCUCACCAAGCGAGGUGCUGGAAUCCUCGUCACAGAAUGGCUGCACAGCAGCCCAGAGAUUUUCUCUCCAGGGAGGAGUCUGAGCAGAAGCUCAGCUCUUGUUCAGGGAUGCCAGGAAGUCAUCACGGGGUGUUAGACAACAUGUCAGGGCUCUUGCUGGCCUGGCUGUCAGGGCGCCUGGGCUCAGUCCAGGCUCUGUUCUAACUCUGUGGUGCCUUCAGUAGGCCACUGCUCCCUCCUGGGACUGUGUCCCUCCCUCAUCUCUCACAGGAGGAAGACCUGCAGCAGCGUCCUCAAACUCGUAUGAAAACCACAGAACCAUUUCCUCAAGUAAAUGUCAUAUCUAAACUCAAUAUACAUGUGGCUGGGCUACUUUUUAAAUAAUACUUUUGUUUUGCUUUUGGCAUUUUCUUUCUUGUCUUUUUGCAUCAAGGAUCCAGGUUCUUAGUAUGUCCUAGAUACAGAGAUAUUUUUUCGGCUCCAGAUCAGAAGCUGCGUGUCCUCACUGCUCUACCCUCAUGAAGGUACCCACAGUCAUGAAGAGACUGUGUUGCUGCCUGCUUUGUGCACAACAAGGUGGGAAAGGCCAUGCCUGUGAGGGUUACAUGAUCCCAGAAUUCAGGACAAUCUGACCAGCCUGGACAAGGAAGGAGACUUGGGGAAAUUCUGAUGAAAGUCCUUUGGGCUGACAGGAAGCUCGGGAUCUUGGUGAAGACCUGGAGGGGUUCCAUUUUCCAUCCAAAGGAGGCAAGGCCCUGGGUGGCAUUGUUACACGGGAGGGGCCCCCAGAGCCCCCUUC
Non-coding RNA from Equus caballus (horse), 1543 nucleotides. NCBI's taxonomy places the organism in Eukaryota, Metazoa, Chordata, Mammalia, Perissodactyla, Equidae. The record is from RefSeq and is a predicted model, not a curated record.